GGGUUGUGAGGUUAAGCGACUAAGCGUACACGGUGGAUGCCCUGGCAGUCAGAGGCGAUGAAGGACGUGCUAAUCUGCGAUAAGCGUCGGUAAGGUGAUAUGAACCGUUAUAACCGGCGAUUUCCGAAUGGGGAAACCCAGUGUGUUUCGACACACUAUCAUUAACUGAAUCCAUAGGUUAAUGAGGCGAACCGGGGGAACUGAAACAUCUAAGUACCCCGAGGAAAAGAAAUCAACCGAGAUUCCCCCAGUAGCGGCGAGCGAACGGGGAGCAGCCCAGAGUCUGAAUCAGUGUGUGUGUUAGUGGAAGUGUCUGGAAAGGCGCGCGAUACAGGGUGACAGCCCCGUACACAAAAAUGCACAUGCUGUGAGCUCGAUGAGUAGGGCGGGACACGUGGUAUCCUGUCUGAAUAUGGGGGGACCAUCCUCCAAGGCUAAAUACUCCUGACUGACCGAUAGUGAACCAGUACCGUGAGGGAAAGGCGAAAAGAACCCCGGCGAGGGGAGUGAAAAAGAACCUGAAACCGUGUACGUACAAGCAGUGGGAGCCCUGAUUUAUCAGGGUGACUGCGUACCUUUUGUAUAAUGGGUCAGCGACUUAUAUUCUGUAGCAAGGUUAACCGAAUAGGGGAGCCGGAGGGAAACCGAGUCUUAACUGGGCGUUAAGUUGCAGGGUAUAGACCCGAAACCCGGUGAUCUAGCCAUGGGCAGGUUGAAGGUUGGGUAACACUAACUGGAGGACCGAACCGACUAAUGUUGAAAAAUUAGCGGAUGACUUGUGGCUGGGGGUGAAAGGCCAAUCAAACCGGGAGAUAGCUGGUUCUCCCCGAAAGCUAUUUAGGUAGCGCCUCGUGAAUUCAUCUCCGGGGGUAGAGCACUGUUUCGGCAAGGGGGUCAUCCCGACUUACCAACCCGAUGCAAACUGCGAAUACCGGAGAAUGUUAUCACGGGAGACACACGGCGGGUGCUAACGUCCGUCGUGAAGAGGGAAACAACCCAGACCGCCAGCUAAGGUCCCAAAGUCAUGGUUAAGUGGGAAACGAUGUGGGAAGGCCCAGACAGCCAGGAUGUUGGCUUAGAAGCAGCCAUCAUUUAAAGAAAGCGUAAUAGCUCACUGGUCGAGUCGGCCUGCGCGGAAGAUGUAACGGGGCUAAACCAUGCACCGAAGCUGCGGCAGCGACACUGUGUGUUGUUGGGUAGGGGAGCGUUCUGUAAGCCUGUGAAGGUGUGCUGUGAGGCAUGCUGGAGGUAUCAGAAGUGCGAAUGCUGACAUAAGUAACGAUAAAGCGGGUGAAAAGCCCGCUCGCCGGAAGACCAAGGGUUCCUGUCCAACGUUAAUCGGGGCAGGGUGAGUCGACCCCUAAGGCGAGGCCGAAAGGCGUAGUCGAUGGGAAACAGGUUAAUAUUCCUGUACUUGGUGUUACUGCGAAGGGGGGACGGAGAAGGCUAUGUUGGCCGGGCGACGGUUGUCCCGGUUUAAGCGUGUAGGCUGGUUUUCCAGGCAAAUCCGGAGAAUCAAGGCUGAGGCGUGAUGACGAGGCACUACGGUGCUGAAGCAACAAAUGCCCUGCUUCCAGGAAAAGCCUCUAAGCAUCAGGUAACAUCAAAUCGUACCCCAAACCGACACAGGUGGUCAGGUAGAGAAUACCAAGGCGCUUGAGAGAACUCGGGUGAAGGAACUAGGCAAAAUGGUGCCGUAACUUCGGGAGAAGGCACGCUGAUACGUAGGUGAAAUCCCUCGCGGAUGGAGCUGAAAUCAGUCGAAGAUACCAGCUGGCUGCAACUGUUUAUUAAAAACACAGCACUGUGCAAACACGAAAGUGGACGUAUACGGUGUGACGCCUGCCCGGUGCCGGAAGGUUAAUUGAUGGGGUCAGCGCAAGCGAAGCUCUUGAUCGAAGCCCCGGUAAACGGCGGCCGUAACUAUAACGGUCCUAAGGUAGCGAAAUUCCUUGUCGGGUAAGUUCCGACCUGCACGAAUGGCGUAAUGAUGGCCAGGCUGUCUCCACCCGAGACUCAGUGAAAUUGAACUCGCUGUGAAGAUGCAGUGUACCCGCGGCAAGACGGAAAGACCCCGUGAACCUUUACUAUAGCUUGACACUGAACACUGGUCCUUGAUGUGUAGGAUAGGUGGGAGGCUUUGAAGUGUGGACGCCAGUCUGCAUGGAGCCGUCCUUGAAAUACCACCCUUUAAUGGCUGGUGUUCUAACGUUGGCCCCUUACCGGGGUUGCGGACAGUGUCUGGUGGGUAGUUUGACUGGGGCGGUCUCCUCCUAAAGAGUAACGGAGGAGCACGAAGGUUGGCUAAUCCUGGUCGGACAUCAGGAGGUUAGUGCAAUGGCAUAAGCCAGCUUGACUGCGAGCGUGACGGCGCGAGCAGGUGCGAAAGCAGGUCAUAGUGAUCCGGUGGUUCUGAAUGGAAGGGCCAUCGCUCAACGGAUAAAAGGUACUCCGGGGAUAACAGGCUGAUACCGCCCAAGAGUUCAUAUCGACGGCGGUGUUUGGCACCUCGAUGUCGGCUCAUCACAUCCUGGGGCUGAAGUAGGUCCCAAGGGUAUGGCUGUUCGCCAUUUAAAGUGGUACGCGAGCUGGGUUUAGAACGUCGUGAGACAGUUCGGUCCCUAUCUGCCGUGGGCGCUGGAGAACUGAGGGGGGCUGCUCCUAGUACGAGAGGACCGGAGUGGACGCAUCACUGGUGUUCGGGUUGUCAUGCCAAUGGCACUGCCCGGUAGCUAAAUGCGGAAGAGAUAAGUGCUGAAAGCAUCUAAGCACGAAACUUGCCCCGAGAUGAGUUCUCCCUGAGACUUAGAGUCUCCUGAAGGAACGUUGAAGACGACGACGUUGAUAGGCCGGGUGUGUAAGCGCAGCGAUGCGUUGAGCUAACCGGUACUAAUGAACCGUGAGGCUUAACCUUACAACGCCGAAGGUGUUU
This 2932-nucleotide ribosomal RNA is filed under the name Escherichia albertii. RNAcentral describes it as "bacterial LSU rRNA". It matches the Rfam family "Bacterial large subunit ribosomal RNA". The record is from RNAcentral. Lineage: Bacteria; Pseudomonadati; Pseudomonadota; Gammaproteobacteria; Enterobacterales; Enterobacteriaceae.